GAUGAACGCUGGCGGCGAGCCUAAUACAUGCAAGUCGAGCGAACAGAUGAGGAGCUUGCUCCUCUGACGUUAGCGGCGGACGGGUGAGUAACACGUGGAUAACCUACCUAUAAGACUGGGAUAUCUUCGGGAAACCGGAGCUAAUACCGGAUAAUAUAUUGAACCGCAUGGUUCAAUAGUGAAAGACGGUUUUGCUGUCACUUAUAGAUGGAUCCGCGCCGCAUUAGCUAGUUGGUAAGGUAACGGCUUACCAAGGCAACGAUGCGUAGCCGACCUGAGAGGGUGAUCGGCCACACUGGAACUGAGACACGGUCCAGACUCCUACGGGAGGCAGCAGUAGGGAAUCUUCCGCAAUGGGCGAAAGCCUGACGGAGCAACGCCGCGUGAGUGAUGAAGGUCUUCGGAUCGUAAAACUCUGUUAUUAGGGAAGAACAAAUGUGUAAGUAACUAUGCACGUCUUGACGGUACCUAAUCAGAAAGCCACGGCUAACUACGUG
RNAcentral lists this ribosomal RNA (497 nucleotides) under uncultured bacterium. Its description in RNAcentral is "partial 16S ribosomal RNA". It matches the Rfam family "Bacterial small subunit ribosomal RNA", at positions 28 to 507 of the family's 1533-position model. The record is from RNAcentral.